RNAcentral lists this ribosomal RNA (271 nucleotides) under uncultured archaeon. RNAcentral describes it as "partial 16S ribosomal RNA". It matches the Rfam family "Archaeal small subunit ribosomal RNA", at positions 477 to 747 of the family's 1478-position model. The record is from RNAcentral.
CAGCGUCACAAGUGGGGAUCACGAUUAUUGGGCCUAAAGCGUCCGUAGCCGGUUUGGUAAAUCUUUAGUGAAAUCGGCCAGCUUAACUGGUCGGCGUGCUAGAGAGACUGUCAAACUUGGAACCGGGAGGAGUUAGGGGUAUGUAAGGGGGAGCGGUAAAAUGCAAUAAUCCUUUACAGACCACCUGUGGCGAAGGCGCCUAACUAGAACAGAUUCGACGGUGAGGGACGAAAGCUGGGGGAGCGAACCGGAUUAGAUACCCGAGUAGUCC